CGCGCUCGUGGUGGAGGUAGCCGCGCUGCACGAAAACGGCCGGGUCGUCGGGGGCCAGCUCGGCGGCGCGGUUGAAGUCGGCGAGCGCGCC
RNAcentral lists this transfer RNA (91 nucleotides) under Urbifossiella limnaea. Its description in RNAcentral is "Planctomycetes bacterium ETA_A1 tRNA-Phe". Lineage: Bacteria; Pseudomonadati; Planctomycetota; Planctomycetia; Gemmatales; Gemmataceae. The record is from RNAcentral.